AGAGUAAACGAACGAUUCAAGCUCCUUACAGAAGGCAGUUCAGCUUGAUAACUCGAUAAGCUGUAUUGACAGAACAAAACCACUCUUUCAAAGGUGGGAUCAAUCCCAACCUAUUCUUCUUAGCCUAACAGUCUAUUCGUGGAAGUAAAUUAUCCAAAAAGUCUCCUUACUAGACCUAACAUCCUGUCAUCGCUUUCAGAUACAAGGAAGUUGGACUAGUUAUUAGACCAACUAUCUCACGCUCUCUCUCUCAAACCCAGCCAAAGGUGAUACAAGGAAGUUGGACUAAUUAUUAUACCAACUAUCUCACGCUCUCUCUCUCAUACCCAGCCAAAGGAGCACAUCUAGUUGAAAGACUCUCAUUCUUAUUUAGAAUGGGAAGAUCUUUCAGUUCGUAAAAGCUUAAGCUUAAGAGCUUUAUCCAUAAGUAAUGAGAGGAGACUUUUAGAAAAACCUCAUGCCUUCUCUGGAGACAGAGAUCUUACUGCUA
This 490-nucleotide long non-coding RNA is filed under the name Nicotiana benthamiana. Its description in RNAcentral is "long non-coding RNA (NBEN_LNC004142)". Lineage: Eukaryota; Viridiplantae; Streptophyta; Magnoliopsida; Solanales; Solanaceae. The record is from RNAcentral.